Caerostris darwini is the source of this 90-nucleotide non-coding RNA. The record is from the annotation of a GenBank genome assembly. NCBI's taxonomy places the organism in Eukaryota, Metazoa, Arthropoda, Arachnida, Araneae, Araneidae.
AUAUACCGGUUCUCGUUAGAUCACCGUUAAGCAUCAUUGGGCGCGGUCAGUACUUGGGUGGGUGACCACCUGGGAACACUGCGUGCCGUU